UACGGAGGGAGCGAGCGUUGUUCGGAAUCACUGGGCGUAAAGCGUACGUAGGCGGUUAUACAAGUCAGAAGUGAAAGCCCAGGGCUUAACCUUGGAAUUGCUUUUGAAACUGUAGAACUAGAGUCCCGGAGAGGUUGGCGGAAUUCCGAGUGUAGAGGUGAAAUUCGCAGAUAUUCGGAGGAACACCAGUGGCGAAAGCGGCCAACUGGACGGGAACUGACGCUGAGGUACGAAAGCGUGGGGAGCAAACAGG
RNAcentral lists this ribosomal RNA (253 nucleotides) under uncultured bacterium. RNAcentral describes it as "partial 16S ribosomal RNA". It matches the Rfam family "Bacterial small subunit ribosomal RNA", at positions 524 to 776 of the family's 1533-position model. The record is from RNAcentral.